AACCCAUGACAUGUGGCAAAGGUGAUGAGCUAUUACUCCCAUGAUUGUUACUGCAAAGGUCUGGAAUUUUGCAAGUGCAAUUAAGGUCAUUAAUGAGUUGAUAGUAACCAAAAGGGAGCUCUUCCAGGUCCACCUAUCCAGUGAAUCCUUUAAAAGAGAAUCUACAGGUCAAAAAGAAGAGAGACACUUCUGCUGGCCUUGGAAAAGCAAACUUCUAUGUGUGAAGAGCACUACAUGGUAGAAUUCCACAGAUGGCCUGCAGGAGCUGAGAUUCUGAGUCCUGCAACUGCAUGGAACUGGAUUCUGCCAAUCAUCAGUGAGCUUGGAAGAGUCCAAACUCAUAGUCUCAAAAAAGAUCUCAGCCCUGGCCAACACUUUGAUUUUACCUGGUGAAAUCUCAACAGAUCUUCGGGAGGACAUCAAUCAUCUGGACUUUAUUGUCACUUCAAUUGAGCCAUGUUAUUCUCUUUUUCCAUCACUACCUGCUUUGACUCUGGAAAUCACCUCUUAGGAAGUUCAUUCAUGGGCUGGGGAUAUAAUUCAGUGGUAGUGAGCUUGUUUAGCAUGCAUGAGGCCCUGGUUACAUCCCCAGAACUGCAAAAGAAAAAAAAAAAAAGAAGCUUUGAUGUUAAGGACUUCCUGUGAGCUUUGUGGGGACUGUCGGAAGAUAAAUAAAGCAAAGAGAUGUUUGUC
This is a non-coding RNA of Ictidomys tridecemlineatus (thirteen-lined ground squirrel), 693 nucleotides long. The record is from RefSeq and is a predicted model, not a curated record. NCBI's taxonomy places the organism in Eukaryota, Metazoa, Chordata, Mammalia, Rodentia, Sciuridae.